AGGCAUCCCAUAACCUCCAGAACAAUAAAGAAGUUAGCAUGAUGAUGUCUGAGAUCCUUAGAGACCUCAAACCAGCAGUGUAAUACAUAGAAGACAAUUACCUUUGAAGUGAGUCUUAUCUCAAGGAGCAGCUGCAGAAGCUUUUGAGAUUAGAUUCCAUGACAAUAAAAUGCUGCUGACAGGGAAACCACUGUGCUGGUUUAACGUGGUCUAAUACUGCGCUAUGGGUAAGGUGCAGUUUUCUCACUACCAAGAAGGAAAACUCCACAUUGAUUUGAAGCAAUGGAUUGAUGUUCCUAGUUUGGCCUGGGAAAUUCGACAAUACAACCAGUUGAUCAUGAUCACUGAAUCCCAGUCACACAUGAAUUUGCUAAAGAGAGACAACAUUUGUCCUUCACUGCAUGUUCUUCGUAUCUCAGCUUAGGUCUCUGUUACUGUAAAAACUGCCUGUACACUUUCUUUCUGCAAACUACCACGUCCUGCUGAAGAGGUCACAGAGACGAGACCGUGUUCUUUGUUACCAGCAUGUCGUGAGAUUGGAGUGAUUUUAUUGGCACCA
This 559-nucleotide long non-coding RNA is filed under the name Apteryx rowi (Okarito brown kiwi). RNAcentral describes it as "lncRNA (ENSARWG00000008591.1)". Lineage: Eukaryota; Metazoa; Chordata; Aves; Apterygiformes; Apterygidae. The record is from RNAcentral.